AUGAUAGGUCCUGGGAGAGGGAGUGACAACAUAUCAGCCAUACUCCAGAGUAGACCCCAUACUCAGGAGUAGUUAGUUGGCUAACACAAAUCAGGCUCCAUAGUUUGUAGUGGCUUUUUUCUUCUUUUUUUUGUUUGUUUGUUUUUUGUUUUUGUUUUCUUUUUUAAGAGAGAGAGGGGGAAAAUAUGAAGUUGGGUGGCGGGAAGGAUAUGGGAGGAGUCUGGGGAUAGAAAAGAAUAUGAUAAUUAGCUGGGCAUGGUACCCACCUCUUUAAUCCCAGCUCCCUGAAGACAGGCAAGUGGAUGUCUGAGUUCAAGGCUGGCCAAUCUACACAGUGUUCCAGGAAAGCUGGAGCUUCCACGUGAGACCUUGUCUCAAAAAAGAUAAUAUUUUAGGAGUCUCUUGGACAAUCCUGACCUACGGCUCAAAAGAGGGUUUCUCAUGUUGAGUGUUGGGGUUUAUGUUAGAUGAUCCAAGAAACUCCAAAAACAUAGACUGUUGUUAAAGGCACUUCAGAUGCAGGAUCCAAAGACCCCUGAGUUGGAUCUAAACUGAAAGCCAUUUUCCUGAGGGCUAGCUUUCAUGGUAUCAGAGGUGCCUCGUAAGCUUCCAAAGGUCGGAAACAACCAAUAUUGCUACCCAGCUAUGUUGCCUAUGAACCACAGUGAAGUCCAGCAUGGUACACAACCCUAAAUGUGCAGUAGUGGCAUACAAACCUUAGCACCAGCUAAUAUCUCUCUAAUUGGACUUUAGACCUGUUCAAUAAUAGGGAAAUGAUGCCUGGUAUUGAAAACCUAGGCACACUACACAAGGCUAGUGAAUUCAUGGAUCUUGGAGGAGAACCUCUACUAAACCAGCACAAUCCCUAACUACAUUCUAAAGAUUUUUCUAUAUAACCACAGAGAAGUGUAGUCCUCACUGCUUAUCCAAGAAAAUUCUCUUUGCCACAGAGACCAACACAGAAAACCACAAUCAAUCACAUGUAAAGCUUACUGGUAAAUCUGUAGCACAGCUGGACCUUAGAAGGGUUAGUGUGGGAAAGGGGAUGGAAAGACUGUCUCCUAGGAAGCUGCACUCAUAGGUUUACCAACAUGACUGCCUAAACAUUAGCUGAAUUAGGAGGCUACUAAUGAAAGCUCUGAAGUCCUCAGCCCUACACACAGAACUUCAGGCAACUAAGGAAUGCUGAGAGCAGACAAGUAGUCUUCCCUGGGGAAGAGUUACCAGUUGGUUAUCCAGUAUCAAACGGCCAGUCCUGAAAAUACAAGGAAUAUCAAACAGAUUGAGCAAGUUGUGCUAUAUAUUUAGGAAUAUCUAUGUGUAUGUAACAACAGUGAAAAAGUGCCAUGAAUUAAAAGCAAAAAAAAGGGUAUAUGAGGGGGUUUGGAGGUAGAAAAAUGAAAGGAAAAAAUGGUGUUUUAUAUAUAUACAUACAUACAUAUUGGAGAUUUCUCAGUAAAUUCCAAAAAAUUGCUAGUUUAAAGGGCAUACUUAAUUCCAAGCAAAAGUUUGUGGCAGUUGUAAUAAGGUGAUAAGUGUUCACUUUGGAAACCAGUUCUGCCCUUCACAGCAUGGUCCUGUGAUUGGAACUUCUGGAUCACAUGUGUAUACCCUCAUACCUGACUUAUUUGUUAUUUUCAAGGAAAGAUUUAUAAGGUUGAUUAAAAAAUGGUCAAAAUAUUAGUCAAAAAUUCAGAAAGAGUGUGUUGAUAUUCUAAAAAGAGCAACAUUAAUCCUUUUUUUUGUUGUUGUUUCUCUUCAGAUUAAAGCUAAAAAUUAUGACAAGGUUGAAAAGGUAAGUUCUCUUAACUAUAUUUUGAAGUUUAAGAGUUUCUAUAUGACCAAAUGGUAAAUAAAUAUGGUACGAGUUGGAGUGGGGAAGAGUAAGGAACAAGGUCAAUAAGCAAAUUAUGAAAAUGCCUCAAUGAAAUUUAUUUCAUAUGCCAAUUUAAACUAAGGAAAAUAUUACAAAAGAAAAAUAAUUAUAUUUAUUUACUUAUGGCUCUGGGGAAAUGAAAGAAAAUGACUAUACUUGUGAAAUGCAUGGGCAUGAUUUUGAUUGUCUAAACUGAAAAGAGGAUUAUUUUUUGCCUUUAAAAAAUUUUAAAGAAUUUUUAAUUUUGCCUGUGUGUGUGUGUGUGUGUGUGUAUGCAUGCACCACAUGCAUGCCUGGUACCCACAAAAGUAGACAUCUGAACUGCUAGAACUAGUGUCAUAGAUGGUCAUGGGCUGCCGUAUAGAUGUUGGGAAUCAAAUCAAGGUCCUCAAAUCAAGGUCCUCAGGCAGUGUGCUCUUAACCACAGUGUCAUCUCUCCAUCCCUCUUAUUUGCCUUUUAGUUAUAAGAAAAUUAAUUCCUAAAAAGACUGACUUUGUUUUUUAAUAUGCUGUUUCAUUCUUACAAAUAUGAAGUGUAUUUACCCGGACGCUGAUAUUAUUUUCUUAUAUUUAAAGCUAUUUCAAAGAUGCCUUAUGAAGGUUUUGCACAUUGAUUUAUGGAAGUGUUAUCUUUCAUACGUCAGAGAAACCAAGGGUAAACUGCCCAGCUACAAGUAAGUGAAAUCAUGGUCUUAAGAAUGCAUAGUGAAUACUUUCAAAAGUAAAUUGCAAAAUCUCUAAUGUGCAUUUAAAUAUAAGUAAUUAAUUAGAAACCACACCCAUUAAUGCGGAAGUGUCUUUCUUUCUCAGUUUUCAUUCUCUCUUGUAGUUUCUAGCAUCCCUCUGAAAUUGAUACUUUUAUUAAAUGUUGUGAUAAUAUUAUUAUUUGUUAGAAAUUUAAUGGCCUAAAAGUGAUGCGAUUGUCUAGAUGAUCUUUUUAUACAAAAUUCUCUAUAUUACUUUGUCCUUAUGUCUGAAUGUGCACACGUGUGUAAGUCAUAGGUAUAAUUGCAGGACUUGGAUCUCUUUUGCCACCAGGAAGGUCUAAGGACUCAGGUCAUUCGCAUAUACCUACUGAGAUAUCGCCCCAAGAUAAUAUUUCUGAUAACUGCUUUAUUUCUAUGUAUUCUUCCAGAAGGCUAACACUGUAAAGAAUAAAAACUAUGCAUCCAAAGUU
Molecule: long non-coding RNA, 3053 nt
Filed under: Mus musculus (house mouse)
Lineage: Eukaryota; Metazoa; Chordata; Mammalia; Rodentia; Muridae
Description: long non-coding RNA chr2:104642526-104645579
Source: RNAcentral